This 387-nucleotide ribosomal RNA is filed under the name Veillonella atypica. Its description in RNAcentral is "bacterial SSU rRNA". It matches the Rfam family "Bacterial small subunit ribosomal RNA", at positions 28 to 395 of the family's 1533-position model. The record is from RNAcentral. Lineage: Bacteria; Bacillati; Bacillota; Negativicutes; Veillonellales; Veillonellaceae.
GACGAACGCCGGCGGCGUGCUUAACACUGCAAGUCGAACGAAGAGCGAUGGAAGCUUGCUUCUAUCAAUCUUAGUGGCGAACGGGUGAGUAACGCGUAAUCAACCUGCCCUUCAGAGGGGGACAACAGUUGGAAACGACUGCUAAUACCGCAUACGAUCCAAUCUCGGCAUCGGGACUGGAUGAAAGGUGGCCUCUAUUUAUAAGCUAUCACUGAAGGAGGGGAUUGCGUCUGAUUAGCUAGUUGGAGGGGUAACGGCCCACCAAGGCGAUGAUCAGUAGCCGGUUUGAGAGGAUGAGCGGCCCCAUUGGGAAUGAGACACGGCCCAGACUCCUACGGGAGGCAGCAGUGGGGAAUUUUCCGCAAGGAGAAAGUUUGACGGAGCAAC